Molecule: unclassified non-coding RNA, 721 nt
Filed under: Hevea brasiliensis (rubber tree)
Lineage: Eukaryota; Viridiplantae; Streptophyta; Magnoliopsida; Malpighiales; Euphorbiaceae
Source: RNAcentral
UCUUUCUUUCUUUCUUUCUUUCUUUUUUUUCCCUAUAACGUGGAUGAACUCGUUCCAAAGUUUAACAGGAACAAAAUUCAGACUAGACCACCUCUAUCCAUCUUUUCUGGAAUGAGGUAAGUUCCAUCCCCUAUAAAGAGAUCUAUUGGUCCCCCUAUCACCAUUACAUUACCAUUAUUAAAAAAAUCAAACCCAAUAUACAUUCAGCCAAAGGGGGAAAAUGGUUAAGACAAAUUGGUCAGAGGGAAUUGAGGUAAUCUCUUAUCAAACCUAAAAUGGGAUUGGCAUAUGAAGUUCCCUCCAAUCUCUGGAACAAGAUUCCAUCCAUCCGGGCUUGAACUCCAUCUGAAAAUGAUAGGUCUUGUAGCAGUUCUUUCAAUGUUCUGUCUACUCCUGCUAUUGAGCUCCCUAUGCCACUUAAGAUCUCUGGCAGUGUAGGCGAGGGUCUUGACAGUUCAACCAGGGUUACCUGUUUGUCUUGGGGAAUGUUGGCUUUCUGUUUUGCGAUGGCAAUAGCUCGAGAUAGCCCACCAGUAGCAUCAACUAGACCUCGUGAAGCUGCAUCUUUACCAGUCCAGACUCUGCCUUGUGCAACCUCUUCCAUCUUAUCCACAGCCAUUGAUCUUGAAAAUGCUGCCUUGUCUCGAAAUUGCUUAUAUGCAUUUUGAGCUGACCUAGCAAAAAGUUCUGCUUCAUCUGGUCUCAUAGGUCGUUGUUCAGC